CUACGCGCUAAGCAAAUUGCUUAGUGGUGCUCAACUUUUUUUUUUUUAUAAAUAAAAAGUUAAAUCAAAAUUCAUGUAAUAACAGUAAUUCAAACAAACAAACAACAAAUAACUAUAUAACAUUUCACAAUCUUUUCUUUUUCUUCAUCAUGUAAAAGGUUUUAUUUUCUCUUAAUACUUUUAUUUAUUUAGUAUGUUUCUGUUGGCCCCUAUAAAUUUAAAUGGGACUGUUAAGUCAGAUAAGGAUACUGUAACUGUAGGGCACAAAGUGCCAAAUAACUGUAUGGCUCAAAAGCCGAGUCUAUGACUGUAGGAUACCUCAUUGUAUCCCAAAAAUCCAUGUAACUGUAGUGCAGUACUGCAAGAUCUAUGUAUGGCAUGCCACACCCUUAAACUAACCCACAAUUCCCACCAAACUUACUAGGGCCAGACUUUAAAUCAUUUAUACAUUUAAACAGGGGGACAACAACUUUUAAUACAGUGUAACUAUCAAUUAUUCAAACUAUAAUAUUUUAUCAUUUUAAAACUGUGCUUUUAAACAUUGUCGUAUCAUAUAAAUCUAUUAAUUUAAUUCAACUACAUAAAUUAUAAAUUCAUAACUUAAUCCUUAAUUAAUUAACUAUUAUUCUUUUUGUUAUUAUUAUUUUUUUUUUAAUUCCUAUUUUUUUUUAUCUUAUAUUAUUCUUAUUAUUCUUCAACAUCACAAUUACACUAUGUCUCAUUUUUUUUUUCUUAUUUCUUUAAUUGCUAUAUAUAUAUAUCUAUAAUUUUUUUUUAAUCUAAUAUCUCUUCUUUUUUUCUUUAAUUUACUAAUCUUUUCAUUAUCACUAUAUCUAACCAAAUUAUAUUUCUAUCCAAGAAUAUAAGUCAUUUCAUUUAUUCCAUAACCUAAUUUAUGAUUACAUUACAUAUUACUUUUAAAAUUUUCUAUCUAUUAAAUCUAUUAUUUUACAAACCUUGAUUAUACUAAUAUAAUCAUUCACUUGGUCUUUCUAUUAGAGUAGUAAAAUUUCAAAUAGAAUGUAAUACCCGGCUCGAGUCCGGCAUCGGAAUUCCUGUAGUCCGGUGGAAUUUCGGGUGUCGGAACCCUCGAAAAGGGUAAUGCAUAUGUUUUCCAAGGUAUUUUCACUUGUUUUCAUGUUUUGAAUUGUUAAAAGCAUAGAAUUUUGACAGAAAAGCAACAAGGGAGAAAUGCAAAGGUUCGGCCGCCGAAGGUCACUUUCGGCCGCCGAACAUUGCAUGGUUGCGGCUUCACGUUCGGCUGCCGAAGGUGGUCUGGCCAGCCACCUAUAAAAGGGCCAAGGGUCGGUGGAAGGAGGUUAUUUCUCCUCCACUUGCAGCCAGAGGUGAGUUUCAGCCUCUCCUACGUUGACUUUCAUGUUUUCCAUGAUUUUCAUCAAAUCUUUCAAGAGUUUUAAGAGUUUUGAUGGUUUAUGAAGGUUUUGAGCAAAAGAACCAAAGUUUGAAGCUUGGAGCUUUGGAAGAGCUUUUCUUCAUAUCUCCACGUUAGGAUCCUUCAUCCUCAAGUUGUGUAAGAGGUAAGUGAAGAUCCUGAGCUUCUUUGAUGAUUUUAAAAGGUUUUAUGAAGUUUGUAGGGGUAGUAUGCAUGUUUAGGUUUAGGUGAGGGUUUUGGUGAUUUGUGGUGGUCAAGCAUGUUGAAGUGUUAUGUGUUCUGUUUGUUUGGGGUUUUAGAGUAGUUUUAGACCCCUUUGUGCAUAUAUAUGUGUAUAUGCUAGUUGGGAGUAGUUGAUGUGCAUGUUGGUAGGUUUUGGGCAAAGUUUGCAUGAAACAGAGCAGGGUUCUGUCCUUCGGGCAAAACCAGGUUCGGCUGCCGAAGGAAGGUUCGGCCGCCGAACCCUUUGUGGAGGCAGUUCGGCUGCCAAAGGUUGCCCCCGAAAGCUAGGCUUUCGGUUUAGAAAGAGACUUUCGGCCGCCGAAAGAGGGCGUUCGGCCGCCGAAAGUGUGUGAGUUUCGUCUCUGGAUGAGACCUUCGGCCGCCGAAGGUGCCGCCGAACAUGCAUGAGUUUCGUCUCUGGAGUGGGGUUUCGGCCGCCGAAUCUGCCGCCGAAAGUGCCCUGUCCAGCUUUCUUUUGCAUGUUUUAUGUGAUGGUUUUAGGAUUGUUUAGAGGGGUUUUGGGGAGUUUCUUAGAGAUGUUCUUGAGUGAGUUUAGUCCCUCAUUUGAGUCCACCUGUGUAGGAACGGACCAGAGGAAUCAGGGAGGUCAGCAGUGAGUCCAGUGUCAGAACCUGCAGAGUCAGUGCAGAGAUAACCAGGUGAGUGGAAUUUAACUUAAUGUUUUAAUAUAACCACUGAAUAUUUUAUCAUGCUUCAUGCAUCAUGAAUAUGCUUUAGGGUGAGUGCAUUAGUUUACACAAAGAUGAUGCAUUGCAUUUAUCCUUGUACUUGGCAUUGCUCCUUGUACAUUGCUUAUGUGAGGCGGCACGGACUUCGUGAGGAUUCAUUAGCCCUCAGAGGAAAGACCUGGAAUAGCCCUACGGGGACCAGGCACACAAAGACCUGGAACAGCCCUACGGGGACCAGGCACAUGGUACUCAGGUACCCCAGAUAAGAUAGAGGGAGUUUUGAUCCGUCCGGCCGAGGUGAUGUGCUUAUGUGUUGCAUUCCAUGAGAGCAUGUUUUAUCACCUGUUAUUUGCCUAUUCUACUCACUGGGCUAGCGUAGCUCAUCCCUCUCCCCUAACUCCAGUUGUGCAGGUUCAGAGGUCAGAGAGAACUCAGCAGGGUACAGGAAGAGUACAGAGUAUUGUACUAGCUAGUGUGGACAUGUACAUGUAAAUGUAAAUGUAUAGAGAAAAUGUAUAUGUACAGUGUAUAGAAUGGUGCUUGACUAUAAGAGUUGUAAUCCCUUGUUCUUUUCACAUGAUCCGUUUAUGUUUACAUAUAUUGUUGUAUGUGUAUGAGCAAAACCAGGCUUAACAUGAUGAGUUUGAUCCGCCUAGGGCCAUGAGGAGCUCUAGUAGGGAUGAGUAAAGAAUAGAAAGAUUGCAUGCACAGGUUAAGCCUUGGAAUGAAGUAAAGUUUUAUGUUUUUACAGCAAAUGUAUGAUCAUGUAUGGGAUUUCACAGGUAUACAGACAGGAUAGCAGGCUUACUACGGGUCCCGGCGACCUUAAGUCGAUCUGGAUCCUAGUGCCGGUGGCAGUUCGGUUUCCGGGCUGUUACAUAGAACAUAAAUAACAAUUUCUUGAAUUUCUUGAAAUAGAGUUGAGCACAAACCUUAGAAUUUCCAAAAUAUUCUACAAGCUUUACUUCUCUACUCUUCCUUUUCUUUCCCUUUGGAACUUCCACUUUUCCUUUCCACUUUUUUCUCAUGAAAAAAAUAAACCAAUAAAUCACAUUAAUACACUAUUUCUCAUAAAUAUUCACAUAAAAUGAUAAGAAAUAACCCUACAACAAAAACCCCUAACAUACCUUU
This 3435-nucleotide long non-coding RNA is filed under the name Manihot esculenta (cassava). RNAcentral's name for it is "long non-coding RNA (MESC_LNC010772)". The record is from RNAcentral. Lineage: Eukaryota; Viridiplantae; Streptophyta; Magnoliopsida; Malpighiales; Euphorbiaceae.